RNAcentral lists this ribosomal RNA (587 nucleotides) under uncultured bacterium. RNAcentral describes it as "bacterial SSU rRNA". It matches the Rfam family "Bacterial small subunit ribosomal RNA", at positions 338 to 917 of the family's 1533-position model. The record is from RNAcentral.
CCUACGGGAGGCAGCAGUGGGGAAUAUUGGACAAUGGGGGCAACCCUGAUCCAGCCAUGCCGCGUGUGUGAAGAAGGCCCUCGGGUUGUAAAGCACUUUCAGCGAGGAAGAACGCCUAGCGGUUAAUACCCGCUAGGAAAGACAUCACUCGCAGAAGAAGCACCGGCUAACUCCGUGCCAGCAGCCGCGGUAAUACGGAGGGUGCAAGCGUUAAUCGGAAUUACUGGGCGUAAAGCGCGCGUAGGUGGCUUGAUAAGCCGGUUGUGAAAGCCCCGGGCUCAACCUGGGAACGGCAUCCGGAACUGUCAAGCUAGAGUGCAGGAGAGGAAGGUAGAAUUCCCGGUGUAGCGGUGAAAUGCGUAGAGGUCGGGAGGAAUACCAGUGGCGAAGGCGGCCAUCUGGACUGACACUGACACUGAGGUGCGAAAGCGUGGGUAGCAAACAGGAUUAGAUACCCUGGUAGUCCACGCCGUAAACGAUGUCGACCAGCCGUUGGGUGCCUAGCGCACUUUGUGGCGAAGUUAACGCGAUAAGUCGACCGCCUGGGGAGUACGGCCGCAAGGUUAAAACUCAAAUGAAUUGACGGA